UUGAGAGCUAGGAUGAAAGGUUUUAUAUUUAAUAUAAUGUAUUAUUUUAGUUUGUUGAAUUUUUAGUAAGAGUAAAAAUACUCUUAUAACUAAGAGAGACGAUAAGACCCUAAAAUCUUUACUCUCAAAAAGAUUAAUUAUCUCUGAGGGCGUUUGUUUGGGGUAAAUAUUUUUAAACUAUAGAAUAAUAUUUUACUCUUGUGUGUUAGAAUCUUAUAUUAGGUUAUUUGUGUAAGUUACUUUAGGGAUAACAGCGUAAUUUUUUAUUGGAGCGGAUAUUUAUUAGAUUUUUACGACCUCGAUGUUGAAUUAAGAAUUCUUUUUGUGGCAGUAUGCAGGAGAGAUGGUUUGUUCAACCUUUUAUUUUUUACAUGAUCUGAGUUCAAACCGG
This 391-nucleotide ribosomal RNA is filed under the name Chelicorophium sowinskyi. RNAcentral's name for it is "partial 16S ribosomal RNA". Lineage: Eukaryota; Metazoa; Arthropoda; Malacostraca; Amphipoda; Corophiidae. The record is from RNAcentral.